CUCACUAAAUAUUAAGUCUAAUGGUCUUCCAUCAUUAUAGAGAUGCAGGUACUUUCCUUAUGUAGAUUAUUUUUGACUGGUUAUAGUGGUUCGAUUGUAUUAAAAAGGUACAACCACUCUAUUGAUAUUAGAUUCCUCGGAGUAAAGAUGGGAUUGGGCUCAAUAACUGUUAGGUGAGGGAUCCAAUGAUGGCUUUACAUCUGUUGGUGAAUGGUGGGUCUGAUUUAACUAAGAAAUAUGUCAAUAAUUGUUAAGUGAGGCCACAAGACUUAGAGACUGAACCUACUGCAUCUUGCUUAGUGAAGCAAUGGAUAAGAUAUUGUCCACUCAUUAAUCUGUACUUAUCAAUAACUAUUAGAUGAGGUGUGUAUAGAUCAGUAGGACCACAGUAUCCACUUGAAAUCGAUCAUAUCUAGAUUUUCAUUUCUUCACCCAAGAAGUAUGGAAGAUUUCAGAAAAUAGUGAGAAUCUUGUUUAUUUUUAAAGUUUUUAGAAUAAACAUUAACUAAAUAC
This 513-nucleotide long non-coding RNA is filed under the name Elaeis guineensis (African oil palm). RNAcentral's name for it is "long non-coding RNA (EGUI_LNC042994)". The record is from RNAcentral. Lineage: Eukaryota; Viridiplantae; Streptophyta; Magnoliopsida; Arecales; Arecaceae.